GGUAAUACGGAGGAUCCGAGCGUUAUCCGGAAUUAUUGGGUUUAAAGGGUUCGUAGGCGGCUUUGUAAGUCAGUGGUGAAAUUUCCUAGCUUAACUAGGACACUGCCAUUGAUACUGCAGAGCUUGAAUAAUAUGGAAGUAACUAGAAUAUGUAGUGUAGCGGUGAAAUGCUUAGAUAUUACAUGGAAUACCAAUUGCGAAGGCAGGUUACUACGUAUUUAUUGACGCUGAUGAACGAAAGCGUGGGGAGCGAACAGGAUUAGAUACCCUGGUAGUCCACGCCGUAAACGAUGGAUACUAGCUGUUCGGUUUUCGGACUGAGUGGCUAAGCGAAAGUGAUAAGUAUCCCACCUGGGGAGUACGUUCGCAAGAAUGAAACUCAAAGGAAUUGACGGGGGCCCGCACAAGCGGUGGAGCAUGUGGUUUAAUUCGAUGAUACGCGAGGAACCUUACCAGGGCUUAAAUGUAGAUUGACAGAUUUGGAAACAGAUUUUUCUUCGGACAAUUUACAAGGUGCUGCAUGGUUGUCGUCAGCUCGUGCCGUGAGGUGUCAGGUUAAGUCCUAUAACGAGCGCAACCCCUAUUGUUAGUUACCAGCGCGUAGUGGCGGGGACUCUAGCAAGACUGCCGGUGCAAACCGUGAGGAAGGUGGGGAUGACGUCAAAUCAUCACGGCCCUUACGUCCUGGGCUACACACGUGCUACAAUGGCAAGUACAGAAAGCAGCUACCUGGCAACAGGAUGCGAAUCUCCAAAGCUUGUCUCAGUUCGGAUUGGAGUCUGCAACUCGACUCUAUGAAGCUGGAAUCGCUAGUAAUCGGAUAUCAGCCAUGAUCCGGUGAAUACGUUCCCGGGCCUUGUACACACCGCCCGUCAAGCCAUGGAAGCUGGGGGUACCUGAAGUCGGUGACCGCAAGGAGCUG
Molecule: ribosomal RNA, 922 nt
Filed under: Myroides sp.
Lineage: Bacteria; Pseudomonadati; Bacteroidota; Flavobacteriia; Flavobacteriales; Flavobacteriaceae
Description: bacterial SSU rRNA
Rfam family: Bacterial small subunit ribosomal RNA
Source: RNAcentral